This 254-nucleotide ribosomal RNA is filed under the name uncultured bacterium. RNAcentral describes it as "partial 16S ribosomal RNA". It matches the Rfam family "Bacterial small subunit ribosomal RNA", at positions 524 to 776 of the family's 1533-position model. The record is from RNAcentral.
UACGUAUGGUGCAAACGUUGUUCGGAAUCACUGGGCAUAAAGAGCGCGUAGGCGGUUCUGUAAGUCUGAUGUGAAAUCCCCCGGCUUAACCGGGGAACUGCAUCGGAUACUGCCGGACUAAGAGUGCAGGAGGGGAGAGCGGAAUUCCUGGUGGAGCGGUGAAAUGCGUAGAUAUCAGGAGGAACGCCGGUGGCGAAAGCGGCUCUCUGGCCUGCAACUGACGCUGAGGCGCGAAAGCUAGGGGAGCAAACGGG